This 443-nucleotide ribosomal RNA is filed under the name uncultured Rhodospirillaceae bacterium. RNAcentral describes it as "bacterial SSU rRNA". It matches the Rfam family "Bacterial small subunit ribosomal RNA", at positions 335 to 795 of the family's 1533-position model. The record is from RNAcentral. Lineage: Bacteria; Pseudomonadati; Pseudomonadota; Alphaproteobacteria; Rhodospirillales; Rhodospirillaceae.
CUUCCUACGGGUGGCUGCAGUGGGGAAUAUUGGACAAUGGGGGAAACCCUGAUCCAGCAAUGCCGCGUGGGUGAUGAAGGCCUUCGGGUUGUAAAGCCCUUUUGGCGGGGACGAUGAUGACGGUACCCGCAGAAGAAGCCCCGGCUAACUUCGUGCCAGCAGCCGCGGUAAUACGAAGGGGGCUAGCGUUGUUCGGAAUUACUGGGCGUAAAGGGCGCGUAGGCGGCCCUGCGCGUCGAGCGUGAAAGGCCUGGGCUCAACCCAGGAACGGCGCUCGAGACGGCAGGGCUAGAGUGCAGGAGAGGAUGGUGGAAUUCCCAGUGUAGAGGUGAAAUUCGUAGAUAUUGGGAAGAACACCGGUGGCGAAGGCGGCCAUCUGGACUGCAACUGACGCUGAGGCGCGAAAGCGUGGGGAGCAAACAGGAUUAGAUACCCUAGUAGUC